GAGUUUGAUCAUGGCUCAGAUUGAACGCUGGCGGCAGGCCUAACACAUGCAAGUCGAGCGGCAGCACGGGGAGCUUGCUCCCUGGUGGCGAGCGGCGGACGGGUGAGUAAUGCAUGGGAAUCUGCCCGGUAGUGGGGGAUAACCCGGGGAAACCCGGGCUAAUACCGCAUACGUCCUACGGGAGAAAGCAGGGGAUCUUCGGACCUUGCGCUAUCGGAUGAGCCCAUGUCGGAUUAGCUUGCUGGUGAGGUAACGGCUCACCAGGGCGACGAUCCGUAGCUGGUCUGAGAGGAUGAUCAGCCACACCGGGACUGAGACACGGCCCGGACUCCCACGGGAGGCAGCAGUGGGGAAUAUUGGACAAUGGGGGAAACCCUGAUCCAGCCAUGCCGCGUGUGUGAAGAAGGCUUUCGGGUUGUAAAGCACUUUCAGCGGGGAAGAAGGCAUGGCGGCUAAUACCCGCCAUGAAGGACAUCACCCGCAGAAGAAGCACCGGCUAACUCCGUGCCAGCAGCCGCGGUAAUACGGAGGGUGCAAGCGUUAAUCGGAAUUACUGGGCGUAAAGGGCGCGUAGGCGGCCUGCCAAGCCGGAUGUGAAAGCCCCGGGCUCAACCCGGGAACGGCAUUCGGAACUGGCAGGCUAGAGUGCAGGAGAGGAAGGUGGAAUUCCCGGUGUAGCGGUGAAAUGCGUAGAGAUCGGGAGGAAUACCAGUGGCGAAGGCGGCCUUCUGGACUGACACUGACGCUGAGGCGCGAAAGCGUGGGUAGCAAACAGGACUAGAUACCCUGGUAGUCCACGCCGUAAACGAUGUCGACCAGCCGUUGGACCCCCUGAGGGUCUGGUGGCGCAGUUAACGCAAUAAGUCGACCGCCUGGGGAGUACGGGCGCAAGGC
This 894-nucleotide ribosomal RNA is filed under the name uncultured bacterium. RNAcentral describes it as "bacterial SSU rRNA". It matches the Rfam family "Bacterial small subunit ribosomal RNA", at positions 9 to 894 of the family's 1533-position model. The record is from RNAcentral.